GACGAACGCUGGCGGCGUGCUUAACACAUGCAAGUCGAGCGGUAAGGCCCUUUCGGGGUACGACGAGCGGCGAACGGGUGAGUAACACGUGGGUGACCUCGCCCUUACGCUCUGGGAGUAAAGCCUGGGAAACGUAGGGUCGUAAUACCGGAUAUGACUCCAUGACGCAUGUUGUGGGGUGGAAAGCCUUGUGCGGCUAGGGAGUGGGCCCGGCGGCCUAUCAGCUUGUUGGUGGGGUGAUGGCCACCAAGGCGACGAC
RNAcentral lists this ribosomal RNA (259 nucleotides) under uncultured bacterium. RNAcentral describes it as "partial 16S ribosomal RNA". It matches the Rfam family "Bacterial small subunit ribosomal RNA", at positions 28 to 280 of the family's 1533-position model. The record is from RNAcentral.